RNAcentral lists this ribosomal RNA (253 nucleotides) under uncultured bacterium. RNAcentral describes it as "partial 16S ribosomal RNA". It matches the Rfam family "Bacterial small subunit ribosomal RNA", at positions 524 to 776 of the family's 1533-position model. The record is from RNAcentral.
UACAGAGGGUGCAAGCGUUAAUCGGAAUUACUGGGCGUAAAGCGCGCGUAGGUGGUUUGUUAAGUUGGAUGUGAAAUCCCCGGGCUCAACCUGGGAACUGCAUUCAAAACUGACAAGCUAGAGUAUGGUAGAGGGUGGUGGAAUUUCCUGUGUAGCGGUGAAAUUCGUAGAUAUUCGGAGGAACACCAGUGGCGAAGGCGGCUCACUGGUCCAUUACUGACGCUGAGGUGCGAAAGCGUGGGGAGCAAACAGG